RNAcentral lists this ribosomal RNA (225 nucleotides) under uncultured bacterium. Its description in RNAcentral is "partial 16S ribosomal RNA". It matches the Rfam family "Bacterial small subunit ribosomal RNA", at positions 96 to 334 of the family's 1533-position model. The record is from RNAcentral.
UGGCGGACGGGUGAGUAACGCGUAGGAAUCUAUCUUUGGGUGGGGGACAACCGUGGGAAACUACGGCUAAUACCGCAUGAGGCCUGAGGGCUAAAGCUUGUGAGAGCGCCUGAGGAGGAGCCUGCGUCCGAUUAGCUAGUUGGUGGGGUAAAGGCCUACCAAGGCUGCGAUCGGUAGCUGGUCUGAGAGGAUGAUCAGCCACACUGGGACUGAGACACGGCCCAG